This 71-nucleotide transfer RNA is filed under the name Triadenum breviflorum. RNAcentral's name for it is "tRNA-Lys". It matches the Rfam family "tRNA". From Rfam's summary of the family: Transfer RNA (tRNA) molecules are approximately 80 nucleotides in length. Their secondary structure includes four short double-helical elements and three loops (D, anti-codon, and T loops). Lineage: Eukaryota; Viridiplantae; Streptophyta; Magnoliopsida; Malpighiales; Hypericaceae. The record is from RNAcentral.
GGGCGCGUGUCCGAGUGAGAAGGCAUCGGGUCUUUUACCCGCCGUCGGAGGUUUGAUCCCUCCCGCGCCCU